AUAAAAAAAGGCUAAAUAAGCUAAUGGAUUCAUACCCCAUACAUAAAGGUCCGACCCCUUUUCUUUUUA
This 69-nucleotide transfer RNA is filed under the name Psylliodes sp. BMNH 846644. RNAcentral's name for it is "tRNA-Met". Lineage: Eukaryota; Metazoa; Arthropoda; Insecta; Coleoptera; Chrysomelidae. The record is from RNAcentral.